AUGCUCAUUUUGGCAGCACAUGUAUGAAAAGUGGAACAGUACAGAAAAGAUUAGCACGGCCCUGCACAAGGAUGCUAUGCAAAUUCCUGAAGGGUUCCAUAUUUUG
Cercocebus atys (sooty mangabey) is the source of this 106-nucleotide small nuclear RNA. The record is from Ensembl. Lineage: Eukaryota; Metazoa; Chordata; Mammalia; Primates; Cercopithecidae.